Molecule: long non-coding RNA, 738 nt
Organism: Chelonia mydas (Green sea turtle)
Lineage: Eukaryota; Metazoa; Chordata; Testudines; Cheloniidae
Exons: 4
Source: RefSeq, a predicted model, not a curated record
UGUUCCUCCCUCCGGGCUCUGUCUGUGCAGACAGUAUACAUAGGAAAUGCUGCAGUCUAACAGGAGCAAGAAGAAGAGGAGAUGGAAGCAGAGGAACAGGAAGAGAAUUGUCAGUUUGAUCAGGAGAAGAUGAAGAUCACAGAGGGAGGAAAUAUGAUGCUGAUGACCUUCGAUGAGGUGGCUUUGCAUUUCUGUGAGGCAGAGUGGGGCCUCUUGGAUGAAGAGCAGAGGGAAAUCUACAAGAAAGUCAUGCAGGAAAAUUAUGAGACUCUGAUCUCCCUGGGUACGACUCUCGUACAUAUAAGAAGCUGUGCAGUCUCGGAAGUGUCUAUGGUCAGCUUCUGCUCAGUGUCCUUCCCUGCCCCCUUAGAAUUAGAAGAUCAGUCCCUGUGGUGCCCAGAACCAAUGCAAGAAGAGACCAUCCUCGCCAUACCAAUUCCCUUUCAAAGGAGGAUUCUGAAAUACAGCAGUGGAGCUAAUUCCCAGAGCUUUCUAUUGGGAUAGAAUAGUUUGUACCUAUACCCUCAUACUCUCACCAUUGUAUUACGUACUAAGACUGGCUUUGUCUUUGCAAGAGGGAAAACUCCUGUGGGAAGAGCCCUAGGGCUCAUUCUUGAACACAAAACCAGAGUUUCUCUGCAGGCUUAGAAAUGGAAUUUCCAAUUCCCAAGCCUGAGAUGAUAGCCCAGUUGGAAAGAGGGGAAGAGCCAUUUCUCCCAGAUCUCCAGCACUCUGAGG